This 100-nucleotide unclassified non-coding RNA is filed under the name Dunnia sinensis. RNAcentral describes it as "partial external transcribed spacer". The record is from RNAcentral. Lineage: Eukaryota; Viridiplantae; Streptophyta; Magnoliopsida; Gentianales; Rubiaceae.
UUUCUGCCCACGAUCGACUAACGUCGCAAACUACAUUCGAACGACGUUCGGCGUUUGCACCGGCGAUAGCGCCUUGCAACCCGAUGUCCGUGAGGAAUGC